This 433-nucleotide ribosomal RNA is filed under the name uncultured bacterium. Its description in RNAcentral is "partial 16S ribosomal RNA". It matches the Rfam family "Bacterial small subunit ribosomal RNA", at positions 29 to 507 of the family's 1533-position model. The record is from RNAcentral.
AGCGAACGCUGGCGGCAGGCUUAACACAUGCAAGUCGAGCGGGCCCUUCGGGGUCAGCGGCGGACGGGUGAGUAACGCGUGGAAACGUGCCUUCUGGUCUGGAAUAACCCUGGGAAACUAGGGCUAAUACCGGAUACGCCCUUUUGGGGAAAGGUUUACUGCCGGAAGAUCGGCCCGCGUCUGAUUAGCUAGUUGGUGGGGUAACGGCCUACCAAGGCGACGAUCAGUAGCUGGUCUGAGAGGAUGAUCAGCCACACUGGGACUGAGACACGGCCCAGACUCCUACGGGAGGCAGCAGUGGGGAAUAUUGGACAAUGGGCGCAAGCCUGAUACAGCCAUGCCGCGUGAGUGAUGAAGGCCUUAGGGUUGUAAAGCUCUUUUAUCCGGGACGAUAAUGACGGUACCGGAGGAAUAAGCCCCGGCUAACUUCGUG